RNAcentral lists this ribosomal RNA (131 nucleotides) under Periophthalmus magnuspinnatus. Lineage: Eukaryota; Metazoa; Chordata; Actinopteri; Gobiiformes; Gobiidae. The record is from RNAcentral.
AACUGUGACCACCUCCAUUAAACACAAGUCUAUGUCUGUGCUACAUCUUGUCCGAUCUCCAAAGCUAAGCAAGACCGGACCUGGUUAGUACUUGGAUGGGAGACCGCUGGGAAAACCAGGUGCCACAGUGA